AAAUGAAUAGACGGGUCCCCGCACAAGCAGCGGAGCGUGUGGUUUAAUUCGAGGCUACACGAAGAACCUUACCAGGAUUUGACAUGCUAGUGGUAGUGAAGUGAAAGCGGAACGACCCUUCGGGGAGCUAGCACAGGUGCUGCAUGGCUGUCGUCAGCUCGUGUCGUGAGAUGUCAGGUUAAGUCCUGAAACGAGCGCAACCCUCAUCGCUAGUUAUACGUGUCUAGCGAGACUGCCCGUGAUAAGCGGGAGGAAGGGGAGGAUGAUGUCAAGUCAGCAUGGCCUUUAUGUCCUGGGCUACACACACGCUACAAUGGCCGGUACAAUGGGUUGCCAAGUCGCGAGACGGAGCCAAUCCCUCAAAGCCGGUCUCAGUUCGGAUUGCAGGCUGCAACUCGCCUGCAUGAAGUCGGAGUUGCUAGUAACCGCGCGUCAGCCAUAGUGCGGUGAAUACGUUCCCGGGGAUUGCACACACCGCCCGU
Molecule: ribosomal RNA, 482 nt
Filed under: uncultured bacterium
Lineage: Bacteria
Description: bacterial SSU rRNA
Rfam family: Bacterial small subunit ribosomal RNA
Source: RNAcentral